UUUUAGCUGCAGAAGACUGAAAUACUAACAGUUUUUUUUGUGGAUCUGAUUUUUUUAUUUCGCAGGAGUGGAUCUAAUCACAGCCUGUGAUAUUCGUCUGUGCACACAGGAGGCCUGGUUUCAGUCGUGUGUUCCCUGAUAGUCAAUGAUUGCUGGAGCUCUGGAAAUAGCAGGUGAGAUUGCAGGCCGGAGUCCCGUCGCUGUCCAGGGAACCAAAAUCAACCUCCUCUACUCCUGAGACCACAGUGUAACUGAGAGCCUAGACUACAUGGCUACUUGGAACAUGAACAUGUUGCAGACACAGGAUCUUAUGAAGUCAGCGCAGGCAGCCCUAGAAAAGAAGAGUCCGAAAGACGUGCCCUUCUCCAAGCUUUAAAGGAGAAGAUCCAGGGCUGUUGAAGCUGCGGUGGAACUGAGACUUCAUCAUCCACAUGGGAAUGAGAAACUCUGACACAACAGUACAUCCUGACCAUUGGUACUGUGUACACAUCAACAUACACACACGUCUCCAUGCUGGACAUCUCAGGAGCUUUCACACACAGUGCUAGGAAUAUCACGGGACAGAGAAACGCACCUCCAAAGUGAGCGAGUUUAGUGUCAACCGGUGAAAUUUGCUGUAGUGCGAACGCUUCGCCUCUGAACAGAAAUGAUCUUUCGAGGCAGCUUCUUCAUCACUACCUGCUCUGUUUGACUCAAAAAUGUAACGACCGGUUUCAAAAAGUCACAAUGUCUUCAGUUCAUGUGAUUUUACUGUUGAAUUUAAACAGGAAAUGUGAAAUAUUUUUUUCCUUUGUUUCCUCUACUGUCUUUUUGCUGUGAUCUUGAACACAGUUGUAAUUUUUUUAAAAUAAUAAAUAAAUGGUCAUUCUAUUCUUUCUCACUUUCCUUGUCCUAAUUGUCCUGUAUCUGUUAAAUCCGUUUCAUCUCUGGUCUUUCUGUCUGUAUGAACACUUGUAGAAAUGACUUGUAGUCCAUAUUUUUAAAUGAUUCAUGAUUUUGAAUUUAAAUAAAGAUAUUCUUUAAUUCUGUAUUUUGUCAUUUAAUUAUCAUUAGAAAUCAGAAGAUCAGAUUAAAGCCAUGGCUUCUUUACCUGCCGAAACUGUAAAACUUUCAAUAAAC
Ictalurus punctatus (channel catfish) is the source of this 1119-nucleotide long non-coding RNA. Lineage: Eukaryota; Metazoa; Chordata; Actinopteri; Siluriformes; Ictaluridae. The record is from Ensembl.